GGAAUGACCAAAACCAACUCAAAGCUAGAAUGAAUUCCCUGUGUGGUGGAGACCCAACAAGCCAUUUCAGAGCCAGAUGAAGGAUAUCGGGCAUCUCUUAAAUGAAACCUGAGUCAGAUACCUGCACACAUACCAGUCCCCUCAAUGUGUAUUCAAGAUACUGUUAACUUAUGGCAAAAUUCUUCCAUCAUAGCAGGGUGCAGUUUUGAAUGUAUGCAACUAGACUCCAGACUUUUCCAGUCUUUCCCAGUCUUUCCUGUUCACCUCAAUUUAGCACUAGCUGAUGGCUCCUGCUCUGUGUCAUAUUCUGCUCCCAGGCCAGAGAUGAAGUCACGGUACUGGCUUUAUGAGUUCUUGCAGCUGCACAACAGCCCGAGAGACUCUCACUGCCUUCUGGAGCAAGAAAACGUGCCUGCAGAGCUUCGAGCUACACUCGUCAGUUUCUAAGGCACCAGGGAGCCGCCUUCUUUUGCAGAGGGGACCUUCAUCUUUGUAAAAGUUAGUCUCCAGGCAUCCAGGUCAGUCAGGUGGUCCACUGCCACUCCAGAGCUUUCCUUAAGGCCCCGCCCUACAUGGUUGUCGUGACAAGUUGUCUGGGGCAAAUCUCCUUCAUCAACAACCCUCCUAGGGAGAGGUGGGAAGGAGGAAAGAGACUGGGAAGCAGCGAGUCCAGCAUCACUGGUUGGAAUACUCUAAGUGAUGCAAUGAACUGACAGGUGCCUGGGGACCCUUCAGGAGCUCAACCUCCUAUAAGAGGGGAUCUGGCAGCAGAAACCAACAUCUGUUUUCAUCUGAACUAAAACAAGGAAUCACCAAAAGCUUGACCAAAGGCAGCCCGUGAGGAUGCCCGCGACUCUGCGAAGACGCACUCACUGUCCAAGACCUGGGGGCUGGGAGGUGUUCUCUAACGACAGGAAGAGAGGAAAGAGUGCUGAAGUUUAUGCCAUUUAGUCUGGGCCUCUGGGAACAGAUACACGGAUAGACGAGUGAGCGAGAGAACGAACGAACGAAUGAAUAUGGAAUUAUCCAAAGACUGUCAAGAACAGCCGCUGCUAAAAAAAGAAAAAAAAUGCUGAAAAUAUUUUUAGAUUCAGAAAAAUCAUAUUCUUCUUGGUAAGUGACAAAAAUGGCUUAAAGCUAAAACUAAAACAAAGUUGUGUGAAAGGGCAG
Molecule: long non-coding RNA, 1170 nt
Filed under: Equus caballus (horse)
Lineage: Eukaryota; Metazoa; Chordata; Mammalia; Perissodactyla; Equidae
Description: lncRNA (ENSECAG00000056015.1)
Source: RNAcentral